GACGAACGCUGGCGGCGUGCUUAACACAUGCAAGUCGAACGGAAAGGCCCUGCUUUUGUGGGUUGCUCGAGUGGCGAACGGGUGAGUAACACGUGAGUAUCCUGCCCUUGACUUUGGGAUAACUUCAGGAAACUGGGGCUAAUACCGGAUAUGAGCUCCUGCUGCAUGGUGGUGGUUGGAAAGUUUCGGCGGUUGGGGAUGGACUCGCGGCUUAUCCGCUUGUUGGUGUGGUAGUGGCUUACCAAGGCUUUGACGGGUAGCCGGCCUGAGAGGGUGACAGGCCACAGUGGGACAGGGAUGGGACCCAGAGUGAUACGGAGGCAGCAGUGGGGAAUAUUGCAGAAUGGGCGGAAGCCUGAUGCAGAAACGUCGAGUGCGGGAUGACGGCCUUCGGGUUGUAAACAGAUUUCGCAUGUGACGAAGAGUGAGUGACGGUAACGGGUAAAGAAGCACCGGCUAACUACGUG
RNAcentral lists this ribosomal RNA (467 nucleotides) under uncultured bacterium. RNAcentral's name for it is "partial 16S ribosomal RNA". It matches the Rfam family "Bacterial small subunit ribosomal RNA", at positions 28 to 507 of the family's 1533-position model. The record is from RNAcentral.